Molecule: ribosomal RNA, 187 nt
Filed under: uncultured Bacteroidota bacterium
Lineage: Bacteria; Pseudomonadati; Bacteroidota
Description: uncultured Bacteroidetes bacterium partial 16S ribosomal RNA
Rfam family: Bacterial small subunit ribosomal RNA
Source: RNAcentral
GCAACCUACCUAUCACUGGGGGAUAGCCCGGGGAAACCCGGAUUAAUACCGCAUAAAACAGGGGCACCGCAUGGUGCUAUUUGUUAAAGAUUUCUUGGUGAUAGAUGGGCAUGCGUUCGAUUAGCUAGUUGGUACGGGUAACGGCCUACCAAGGCGACGAUCGAUAGGGGAGCUGAGAGGUUGAUCC